UAAUGAACAUGAAAAAGAGGAGUUGCGCUAACAACCCCUCAUUAACAGCACCGAUUAAAGAACGGUGGCAGAAUAUUAGUUAUUUGGAA
Molecule: non-coding RNA, 89 nt
Organism: Enterococcus faecium DO
Lineage: Bacteria; Bacillati; Bacillota; Bacilli; Lactobacillales; Enterococcaceae
Source: Rfam